RNAcentral lists this ribosomal RNA (405 nucleotides) under uncultured Acidimicrobiales bacterium. RNAcentral's name for it is "bacterial SSU rRNA". It matches the Rfam family "Bacterial small subunit ribosomal RNA", at positions 355 to 776 of the family's 1533-position model. Lineage: Bacteria; Bacillati; Actinomycetota; Acidimicrobiia; Acidimicrobiales. The record is from RNAcentral.
GAGGGAAUCUUGCGCAAUGGGCGAAAGCCUGACGCAGCGACGCCGCGUGGGGGAUGAAUGCCUUAGGGUUGUAAACCCCUUUCACGAGGGAAGAAACUGACGGUACCUCGAGAAGAAGCCCCGGCCAACUACGUGCCAGCAGCCGCGGUAAUACGUAGGGGGCGAGCGUUGUCCGGAUUUAUUGGGCGUAAAGGGCUCGUAGGCGGCUUGGCAAGUCGGCCGUGAAAACCCAGGGCUCAACUCUGGGACGCCGGUCGAUACUGCCAUGGCUAGGGUCCGGUAGAGGGGAAUGGAAUUCCCGGUGUAGCGGUGAAAUGCGCAGAUAUCGGGAGGAACACCAGUAGCGAAGGCGGUUCCCUGGGCCGGCACCGACGCUGAGGAGCGAAAGCGUGGGGAGCAAACAGG